UCGACGAUGAUGCCCAGCUUGCUGGGUGGAUUAGUGGCGAACGGGUGAGUAACACGUGAGUAACCUGCCCCUGACUCUGGGAUAAGCGUUGGAAACGACGUCUAAUACUGGAUAUGAUCACUGGCCGCAUGGUCUGGUGGUGGAAAGAUUUUUUGGUUGGGGAUGGACUCGCGGCCUAUCAGCUUGUUGGUGAGGUAAUGGCUCACCAAGGCGACGACGGGUAGCCGGCCUGAGAGGGUGACCGGCCACACUGGGACUGAGACACGGCCCAGACUCCUACGGGAGGCAGCAGUGGGGAAUAUUGCACAAUGGGCGAAAGCCUGAUGCAGCAACGCCGCGUGAGGGAUGACGGCCUUCGGGUUGUAAACCUCUUUUAGUAGGGAAGAAGCGAAAGUGACGGUACCUGCAGAAAAAGCACCGGCUAACUACGUGCCAGCAGCCGCGGUAAUACGUAGGGUGCAAGCGUUGUCCGGAAUUAUUGGGCGUAAAGAGCUCGUAGGCGGUUUGUCGCGUCUGCUGUGAAAUCCCGAGGCUCAACCUCGGGCUUGCAGUGGGUACGGGCAGACUAGAGUGCGGUAGGGGAGAUUGGAAUUCCUGGUGUAGCGGUGGAAUGCGCAGAUAUCAGGAGGAACACCGAUGGCGAAGGCAGAUCUCUGGGCCGUAACUGACGCUGAGGAGCGAAAGCAUGGGGAGCGAACA
This 699-nucleotide ribosomal RNA is filed under the name Curtobacterium sp. RNAcentral describes it as "bacterial SSU rRNA". It matches the Rfam family "Bacterial small subunit ribosomal RNA", at positions 62 to 774 of the family's 1533-position model. Lineage: Bacteria; Bacillati; Actinomycetota; Actinomycetes; Micrococcales; Microbacteriaceae. The record is from RNAcentral.